Molecule: ribosomal RNA, 483 nt
Filed under: uncultured bacterium
Lineage: Bacteria
Description: partial 16S ribosomal RNA
Rfam family: Bacterial small subunit ribosomal RNA
Source: RNAcentral
AUUGAACGCUGGCGGCAGGCCUAACACAUGCAAGUCGAGCGGAUGAAGGGAGCUUGCUCCUGGAUUCAGCGGCGGACGGGUGAGUAAUGCCUAGGAAUCUGCCUGGUAGUGGGGGAUAACGUCCGGAAACGGGCGCUAAUACCGCAUACGUCCUGAGGGAGAAAGUGGGGGAUCUUCGGACCUCACGCUAUCAGAUGAGCCUAGGUCGGAUUAGCUAGUUGGUGGGGUAAAGGCCUACCAAGGCGACGAUCCGUAACUGGUCUGAGAGGAUGAUCAGUCACACUGGAACUGAGACACGGUACAGACUCCUACGGGAGGCAGCAGUGGGGAAUAUUGGACAGUGGGCGAAAGCCUGAUCCAGCCAUGCCGCGUGUGUGAAGAAGGUCUUCGGAUUGUAAAGCACUUUAAGUUGGGAGGAAGGGCAGUAAGUUAAUACCUUGCUGUUUGGACGUUACCAACAGAAUAAGCACCGGCUAACUUCGU